GGGGAUUUAGCUCAGCGGCAUAAGCACCUGCCUUGCAAGCAGGCGAGUUCGAUCCCCG
Transfer RNA from Cavia porcellus (domestic guinea pig), 58 nucleotides. It matches the Rfam family "tRNA". From Rfam's summary of the family: Transfer RNA (tRNA) molecules are approximately 80 nucleotides in length. Their secondary structure includes four short double-helical elements and three loops (D, anti-codon, and T loops). The record is from Rfam. NCBI's taxonomy places the organism in Eukaryota, Metazoa, Chordata, Mammalia, Rodentia, Caviidae.